GAUGAACGCUGGCGGCGUGCUUAACACAUGCAAGUCGAACGGGAAUUACUUUAUUGAAACUUCGGUCGAUUUAAUUUAAUUCUAGUGGCGGACGGGUGAGUAACGCGUGGGUAACCUGCCUUGUACAGGGGGAUAACAGUCAGAAAUGACUGCUAAUACCGCAUAAGCGCACAGGACCGCAUGGUCCGGUGUGAAAAACUCCGGUGGUAUAAGAUGGACCCGCGUUGGAUUAGCUUGUUGGUGGGGUAACGGCCCACCAAGGCGACGAUCCAUAGCCGGCCUGAGAGGGUGAACGGCCACAUUGGGACUGAGACACGGCCCAGACUCCUACGGGAGGCAGCAGUGGGGAAUAUUGCACAAUGGGGGAAACCCUGAUGCAGCGACGCCGCGUGAAGGAAGAAGUAUCUCGGUAUGUAAACUUCUAUCAGCAGGGAAGAAAAUGACGGUAC
RNAcentral lists this ribosomal RNA (449 nucleotides) under uncultured bacterium. Its description in RNAcentral is "bacterial SSU rRNA". It matches the Rfam family "Bacterial small subunit ribosomal RNA", at positions 28 to 478 of the family's 1533-position model. The record is from RNAcentral.